UACGGAGGGAGCUAGCGUUGUUCGGAAUUACUGGGCGUAAAGCGCACGUAGGCGGCUAUUCAAGUCAGGGGUGAAAUCCCGGGGCUCAACCUCGGAACUGCCUUUGAAACUGGAUGGCUAGAAUCCUGGAGAGGCGAGUGGAAUUCCGAGUGUAGAGGUGAAAUUCGUAGAUAUUCGGAAGAACACCAGUGGCGAAGGCGACUCGCUGGACAGGUAUUGACGCUGAGGUGCGAAAGCGUGGGGAGCAAACAGG
This 253-nucleotide ribosomal RNA is filed under the name uncultured bacterium. RNAcentral describes it as "partial 16S ribosomal RNA". It matches the Rfam family "Bacterial small subunit ribosomal RNA", at positions 524 to 776 of the family's 1533-position model. The record is from RNAcentral.